AACGAACGCUGGCGGCAUGCCUAACACAUGCAAGUCGAACGAGACCUUCGGGUCUAGUGGCGUACGGGUGCGUAACGCGUGGGAACCUGCCCUUAGGUUCGGAAUAACUCUCCGAAAGGGGUGCUAAUACCGGAUAAUGUCUUCGGACCAAAGAUUUAUCGCCUUUGGAUGGGCCCGCGUUGGAUUAGCUAGUUGGUAGGGUAAAAGCCUACCAAGGCGACGAUCCAUAGCUGGUCUGAGAGGAUGGUCAGCCACACUGGGACUGAGACACGGCCCAGACUCCUACGGGAGGCAGCAGUGGGGAAUAUUGGACAAUGGGCGAAAGCCUGAUCCAGCAAUGCCGCGUAAGUGAUGAAGGCCUUAGGGUUGUAAAGCUCUUUUAACCGGGAUGAUAAUGACAGUACCGGGAGAAUAAGCUCCGGCUAACUCCGUG
This 433-nucleotide ribosomal RNA is filed under the name uncultured bacterium. Its description in RNAcentral is "partial 16S ribosomal RNA". It matches the Rfam family "Bacterial small subunit ribosomal RNA", at positions 29 to 507 of the family's 1533-position model. The record is from RNAcentral.